GGACCCAUAGCUCAAUUGGUCAGAGCACUCGUCUUUUAAACGAUAGGUUCUCGGUUCAAGUCCGAGUGGGUUCACCA
This 77-nucleotide transfer RNA is filed under the name Verrucomicrobiaceae bacterium. RNAcentral's name for it is "tRNA-Lys". It matches the Rfam family "tRNA". Rfam says of the family: Transfer RNA (tRNA) molecules are approximately 80 nucleotides in length. Their secondary structure includes four short double-helical elements and three loops (D, anti-codon, and T loops). Further hydrogen bonds mediate the characteristic L-shaped molecular structure. tRNAs have two regions of fundamental functional importance: the anti-codon, which is responsible for specific mRNA codon recognition, and the 3' end, to which the tRNAs corresponding amino acid is attached (by aminoacyl-tRNA synthetases). tRNAs cope with the degeneracy of the genetic code in two manners: having more than one tRNA (with a specific anti-codon) for a particular amino acid; and 'wobble' base-pairing, i.e. permitting non-standard base-pairing at the 3rd anti-codon position. The record is from RNAcentral. Lineage: Bacteria; Pseudomonadati; Verrucomicrobiota; Verrucomicrobiia; Verrucomicrobiales; Verrucomicrobiaceae.